RNAcentral lists this long non-coding RNA (1021 nucleotides) under Salmo salar (Atlantic salmon). RNAcentral's name for it is "lncRNA (ENSSSAG00000122250.1)". The record is from RNAcentral. Lineage: Eukaryota; Metazoa; Chordata; Actinopteri; Salmoniformes; Salmonidae.
GCUUUCUAAUAGAGGAGGGAGGGAGGGUAUGGGAAUCAAGGCCUCUGACUGUACAGUAGGAAUAUUAAUCAAUACUGUCAAUCAUUAUCUGCACCUUGUACCCAAUUAAAUCGUUCCAAUGAGGAUGAUGAAAUGCUACCCCCAUCUUUGAGGUCACCUUUUUAACUCAUGUGUGUGAGAUAUUUUAGAGAGUUAGAGAAAGAGAAUAGUAUUUUGACUUUAGAUUCACUACACAGGUGGCAUUCCAGUGAAACUACUGUAUACCCACUAUAACCAAACACUACUUCAUGGUGGUGAUGGUGAUGAUGCCAUCCACUAUUAAUCAAUUGUAAAUUAUCAUCCAUAGGAUAUAUCUGCAGUCAUAUUAACACAGCUCUUCAUAGGGACAUAACCCACUAGCAUGUAUCAUCGGAGACAGUGUGUACCUGGAAAUCAUUCUAUAUUUAAUAAAAUAGCUAGUUUUCUAUCAGAUGUUUGGUGUAAAUGCAGGGGAAAUAGUAUAGACUACUAUAGGCAAUCUAUUGUAACUUUAAUGUAGUCACAUGCUUUUGACGUUUAUUUCUAAAACAUGCUUUUUACUUUUUCAAUCAUGAUCAGUUCGGUGUGUUGAUUUCCAUACUGAUAGCUGUGUGGUAACAUACUGUAUUGAAAAGUGUUAGAAUAUUAUUGUAGUUUUAAGUGGAUAUGAAUUAUAUCACUUGGACUGGGAGUUGAAUGGAAGGUUAUGACAUGUGCUUUAGUCACUGUAUUGAGUUUCUAACCUGAUUUCCACCUUCAGAUUAAAAUGGACUAUCAUAUUUAGAGGAAAUGGUCACUGGACAUCUCUAGUCCUCUGGGGUUGCCGUGUCUGCUGAGCUGGGUUGUGUUUGGGAGUGAGAGGGGGGAGAUGAGGAGAGACUAGUGGAGAGGCCAGCAGAGAUGGCACCCUAGAGAAAUAGGGGGUUAUUCUUUGGGCCAUGUUGUGGAGUGUUGUGUUUCAUGACUACACAGAGAAAACAUACCAAUAAAACACAUUCAAAAG